AUUGAACGCUGGUGGCAUGCUUUACACAUGCAAGUCGAACGGCAGCGCGGGCUUCGGCCUGGCGGCGAGUGGCGAACGGGUGAGUAAUGCAUCGGAACGUGCCCAGUAGUGGGGGAUAGCCCGGCGAAAGCCGGAUUAAUACCGCAUACGACCUGAGGGUGAAAGCGGGGGACCGAAAGGCCUCGCGCUAUUGGAGCGGCCGAUGUCGGAUUAGCUAGUUGGUGGGGUAAAGGCUUACCAAGGCGACGAUCCGUAGCUGGUCUGAGAGGACGACCAGCCACACUGGGACUGAGACACGGCCCAGACUCCUACGGGAGGCAGCAGUGGGGAAUUUUGGACAAAGGGGGCAACCCUGAUCCAGCCAUGCCGCGUGCGGGAAGAAGGCCUUCGGGUUGUAAACCGCUUUUGUUCGGGAAGAAAUCCUCUGGGCUAAUACCCCGGGGGGAUGACGGUACCGGAAGAAUAAGCACCGGCUAACUACGUG
RNAcentral lists this ribosomal RNA (484 nucleotides) under uncultured bacterium. RNAcentral describes it as "partial 16S ribosomal RNA". It matches the Rfam family "Bacterial small subunit ribosomal RNA", at positions 29 to 507 of the family's 1533-position model. The record is from RNAcentral.